This 906-nucleotide ribosomal RNA is filed under the name Farysia acheniorum. Its description in RNAcentral is "LSU rRNA". It matches the Rfam family "Eukaryotic large subunit ribosomal RNA", at positions 74 to 964 of the family's 3401-position model. The record is from RNAcentral. Lineage: Eukaryota; Fungi; Basidiomycota; Ustilaginomycetes; Ustilaginales; Ustilaginaceae.
AUUCCCCUAGUAACGGCGAGUGAAGAGGGAAGAGCCCAAGAUUGAAAGCUGGCGCCUUCGGUUCCGCAUUGUAAUCUCAAGAAGCAUUUUCCGCUUCUGACCAAGCCUAAGUCCCUUGGAAAAGGGCAUCGUAGAGGGUGAGAAUCCCGUACAUGGCUUGGAGCGCCCGAGGCUUUGUGAUAUGCAUUCUAAGAGUCGAGUUGUUUGGGAAUGCAGCUCAAAAUGGGUGGUAAAUGCCAUCUAAGGCUAAAUAUUGGGGAGAGACCGAUAGCGAACAAGUACCGUGAGGGAAAGAUGAAAAGAACUUUGAAAAGAGAGUUAAACAGUACGUGAAAUUGCCAAAAGGGAAGGGUAGGAGGUCAGAGAUGCGGCAUGGGAUUCAGCCUUGCUUUUGCUUGGUGUUUUUCCCAUUUUGCAGGCCAACGUCGGUUUUGGGCACUGGAGAAUGGUGGGAGGAAUGUGGCACUCUUCGGGGUGUGUUAUAGCCUCCUACUGGAUACAGCGACCGGGACCGAGGAACGCAGCGUACUCGAAAGAGCGGGCCUUCGGGCACCUUUACGCUUAGGGCGUUGGCAUAAUGACCCUCUACCACCCGUCUUGAAACACGGACCAAGGAGUCUAACAUGUAUGCGAGUCUUUGGGUGGCAAACCCGUAGGCGCAAUGAAAGUGAAUUCAGAUGGGAUCCGCAAGGUGCACCAUCGACCGAUCCUCACGUCUUUUAAGUCGUGGAUUUGAGUAAGAGCAUGCCUGUUGGGACCCGAAAGAUGGUGAACUAUGCCUGAAUAGGGCGAAGCCAGAGGAAACUCUGGUGGAGGCUCGUAGCGGUUCUGACGUGCAAUCGAUCGUCAAAUUUGGGUAUAGGGGCGAAAGACUAAUCGAACCAUCUAGUAGCUGGUUCCUGCCGA